This 497-nucleotide ribosomal RNA is filed under the name uncultured bacterium. RNAcentral's name for it is "partial 16S ribosomal RNA". It matches the Rfam family "Bacterial small subunit ribosomal RNA", at positions 28 to 507 of the family's 1533-position model. The record is from RNAcentral.
GAUGAACGCUGGCGGCGUGCCUAAUACAUGCAAGUCGAGCGAACAGACGAGGAGCUUGCUCCUCUGACGUUAGCGGCGGACGGGUGAGUAACACGUGGAUAACCUACCUAUAAGACUGGGAUAACUUCGGGAAACCGGAGCUAAUACCGGAUAAUAUAUUGAACCGCAUGGUUCAAUAGUGAAAGACGGUUUUGCUGUCACUUAUAGAUGGAUCCGCGCCGCAUUAGCUAGUUGGUAAGUUAACGGCUUACCAAGGCAACGAUGCGUAGCCGACCUGAGAGGGUGGUCGGCCACACUGGAACUGAAACACGGUCAAGACUCCUACGGGAGGCAGCAGUAGGGAAUCUUCCGCAAUGGGCGAAAGCUUGACGGAGCAACGCCGCGUGAGUGAUGAAGGUCUUCGGAUCGUAAAACUCUGUUAUUAGGGAAGAACAAAUGUGUAAGUAACUAUGCACGUCUUGACGGUACCUAAUCAGAAAGCAACGGCUAACUACGUG